This 497-nucleotide ribosomal RNA is filed under the name uncultured bacterium. Its description in RNAcentral is "partial 16S ribosomal RNA". It matches the Rfam family "Bacterial small subunit ribosomal RNA", at positions 28 to 507 of the family's 1533-position model. The record is from RNAcentral.
GAUGAACGCUGGCGGCGUGCCUAAUACAUGCAAGUCGAGCGAACGGACGAGAAGCUUGCUUCUCUGAUGUUAGCGGCGGACGGGUGAGUAACACGUGGAUAACCUACUUCUAAGACUGGGAUAACUUCGGGAAACCGGAGCUAAUACCGGAUAAUAUUUUGAACCGCAUGGUUCAAAAGUGAAAGACGGUCUUGCUGUCACUUAUAGAUGGUUCCGCGCUGCAUUAGCUAGUUGGUAAGGUAACGGCUUACCAAGGCAACGAUGCAUAGCCGACCUGAGAGGGUGAGCUGCCACACUGGAACUGAGACACGGGCCAGAGACCUACGGGAGGCAGCAGUAGGGAAUCUACCGCAAUGGGCGAAAACCUGACGGAGCGACACCGCGUGAGUGAGGAAGAUCUUCGGAUCGUAUAACGCUGUUAUGAGGGAAGAACAAAUGUGUAAGUAAAUGCGCACAUCUUGACAGUACAUAAACAGAAUGCCAAGGCUAAAUACGUG